UACGGAAGGCAGCAGUGGGGAAUAUUGCACAAUGGGCGAAAGCCUGAUGCAGCUAUGCCGCGUGUAUGAAGAAGGCCUUAGGGUUGUAAAGUACUUUCAUCGGGGAGGAAAAAAACAAAACUAAUAAUUUUAUUUCUUGACGUUACCCGAAAAAGAAGCACCGGCUAACUCCGUGCCAGCAGCCGCGGUAAUACGGAGGGUGCUAGCGUUAAUCAGAAUUACUGGGCGUAAAGAGCACGUAGGUGGUUUUUUAAGUCAGAUGUGAAAUCCCUGGGCUUAACCUAGGAACUGCAUUUGAAACUGAAAUACUAGAGUAUCGUAGAGGGAGGUAGAAUUCUAGGUGUAGCGGUGAAAUGCGUAGAUAUCUGGAGGAAUACCUGUGGCGAAAGCGGCCUCCUAAACGAAUACUGACACUGAGGGUGCGAAAGCGUGGGGAGCAAAACAGGGAUUAGAUACC
RNAcentral lists this ribosomal RNA (457 nucleotides) under uncultured bacterium. Its description in RNAcentral is "bacterial SSU rRNA". It matches the Rfam family "Bacterial small subunit ribosomal RNA", at positions 340 to 786 of the family's 1533-position model. The record is from RNAcentral.